This 463-nucleotide long non-coding RNA is filed under the name Zostera marina. RNAcentral describes it as "long non-coding RNA (ZMAR_LNC000416)". Lineage: Eukaryota; Viridiplantae; Streptophyta; Magnoliopsida; Alismatales; Zosteraceae. The record is from RNAcentral.
AUAGAGGCAGCAGAAGCAGUAACAACAACAACCCAUCUCCAUUUUCCUCCUCCUCUUCAUGGUUGUAGCUUGGAUCCAAGCUUACCGGCGGAAAUCACUGUGGAUCUCAACUCCGAUGUCCCUCUUCCUUACCCCUGGGAGCAGUAUCUGAACAUUCAGGUCGAUCUUUUAAUAAAUGAUUCAUGAUUGUUGCAAUAAAUGAGAGUAUUUUAAAUCAUCUCCUCCUCCACCUUCUCUUCUCCUAAUCAUUUGGAAUAAAUGAAGCCUGAAACAUUAAUACCUUUUCUAUCUCCACUUUACUCUUUGUCUCUGAUCCAAGAUCUCAGCUUUUUUUUCCUCUUGCUGUUCUUUUUCCGGACCCACCCUAUUUUUCUCUCUUGGACUUCAGAUCAUCAUCAGAUCUUUUUCCUUUUCUUCUCUGGAUCUGACUCUUGUUGUUGUUGAUGUAAAUUUGUAAUGGUCA